GCGCAGCAAGCGCGAAUCUUCCACAAUGGACGAAAGUCUGAUGGAGCGACGCCGCGUGCGGGAUGAAGGCCUUAUGGGUUGUAAACCGCUGUCAGGGGGGAAGAACAUCGGAAUGAACAAUACUCAUUCCGACUGGACGUUACCCCCAGAGGGAAGCUCCGGCCAACUCCGUGCCAGCAGCCGCGGUAAUACGGGGGGAGCAAGCGUUGUCCGGAAUUAUUGGGGCGUAAAGGGCGUGUAGGCGGCGAGGUAAGUCGAA
RNAcentral lists this ribosomal RNA (259 nucleotides) under uncultured microorganism. Its description in RNAcentral is "partial 16S ribosomal RNA". It matches the Rfam family "Bacterial small subunit ribosomal RNA", at positions 346 to 592 of the family's 1533-position model. The record is from RNAcentral.